RNAcentral lists this ribosomal RNA (327 nucleotides) under uncultured eukaryote. RNAcentral describes it as "partial 18S ribosomal RNA". It matches the Rfam family "Eukaryotic small subunit ribosomal RNA", at positions 1470 to 1796 of the family's 1831-position model. The record is from RNAcentral.
CGCUUAGAUGGUCUGGGCGGCACGCGCGCUACAAUGAUGCAUUCAGAAAGUCUUCUGACCUUAGAAGGUUGGGUAUUCUCCAAAGUGCAUCGUGAUGGGAAUAGUUUAUUGCAAUUUUUAAUCUUGAACGAGGAAUUUCUAGUAAAUACAGGUCAUCAACUUGUGUUGAUUACGUCCCUGCCCUUUGUACACACCGCCCGUCGCUACUACCGAUUGAACGGUUUAGUGAGGGCCUCGGAUUGGUCUCGGCCCGCUCUUUACCGGGCGGCGCCGUUGGUCGAGAAGACGCUCGAACUUGAUCGUUUAGAGGAAGUAAAAGUCGUAACA